UAUAUGCCAAAAAUCACAAAAAACAAACAUUCAGAGAUCAAGUAAUGAGGCAAAACAUUUUGACGGUGAUAAAACAAAAAAAAAUCACGAUUUAACGGUUAUUUUUAACUUCGAUUUUGAUGAUUUUUUACAAGUACACUUUUUGACCCUAUACGAAUACAAUGAAUGAAUUCGAUCGUCAAUUUAAAAUAUUUACACAUGUGGAUACCACAAAAUCUUAUGUUAUACUUAAUGAAAGUAUAAAUAAACUCUAAGUGUUAGUGAAUCUAUCGUUUUGAUGGAAUACGAAUUCUAUGAAACUAAUUUCAACGAUCCAACCAUCAAUCUUGUUUGUAUAUGCUUUGAGAUCGCAUACGCCAAAAAUCACAAAAAACAAACAUUCAGAGAUCAAGUAAUGAGACAAAACUUUUCGACGGUUAUAAAACAAAAAAUCACGAUUUAACGGUUAUUUUAACUUCGAUUUUGAUAAUUUUUUACAACUACACUUGUUGACCCUAUACGAAUACAAUGAAUGAAUUCGAUCGUCAAUUUAAAAUAUUUACACAAGUGGAUACCACAAAAUCUUAUGUUAUACUUAAUGAAAGUGUAAAUAAACUCUAAGUGUUAGUGAAUCUAUCGUUUUGAUGGGAUACGAAUUCUAUGAAACUAAUUUCAACAAUCCAACCGUCAAUCUUGUUUGUAUAUGCUUUGAGAUCGCAUACGCCAAAAAUCACAAAAAACAAACAUUCAGAGAUCAAGUAAUGAGACAAAAAUUUUCGACGGUUAUAAAACAAAAAAUCACGAUUUAACGGUUAUUUUAACUCCGAUUUUGAUGAUUUUUUACAACUACACUUGUUGACCCUAUACGAAUACAAUGAAUACAUUCGAUCGUCAAUUUAAAAUAUUUACACAAGUGUAUACCACAAAAUCUUAUGUUAUACUUAAUGAAAGUAUAAAUAAACUCUAAAUGUUAGUGAAUCUAUCGUUUUGAUGGGAUACGAAUUUUAUGAAACUAAUUUCAACGAUCCAACCGUCAAUCUUGUUUGUAUAUGCUUCGAGAUCGCAUAUGCCAAAAAUCACAAAAAACAAACAUUCAGAGAUCAAGUAAUGAGACAAAACUUUUCGACGGUUAUAAAACAAAAAAUCACGAUUUAACGGUUUUUUUAACUCCGAUUUUGAUGAUUUUUUACAACCACACUUGUUGACCCUAUACGAAUACAAUGAAUGAAUUCGAUCGUCAAUUUAAAAUAUUUACACAAGUGGAUACUACAAAAUCUUAUGUUAUACUUAAUGAAAGUAUAAAUAAAGUCUAAGUAUCUAUGGUUUGGAUGAGAUACGAAUUCUAUGAAACUAAUUUCAAUGAUCCAACCGUCAAUCUUGUUUGUAUAAUUUGAAUGGUUUUUAAUGUUUGGUUUUUCUAUACUUAGUUUAUGCGGAAGAGAGUUCUGACGUAGACAACCUUACCGAAAACAUCAUCAACAGAACUCUUGAAGGCAAUAGAUCAAGCCAAAGUUCCAAUACAAUUUCCCCAUGAUGAUCGAUGAAAAUUGAGGAUUUUGUAAAAGAAAUAACAUUCAAACUUUGAGUUCUAUUGACAAGGUUUAAACUUUUGAGAAAGGCUUCACAACCUUGAAAACAAAAACUAUUUCAUUUUGCAUAUCCUUGCACAUUUAAUAUUUUGUAAUAGACUAGUGUAUAGAUGUUUUUUUAUUAGGCUCUUAUUUUCGAGUGUAGAUGUAGUACUUAAAUGACAAAUAUGUUUUAAUGUUUUGAAGUAAUAUUUAUGUGGUAAUGUGUGGUAUGUGCAAAUUUAAGAAAAAAAUAUAUUUUUCUUAACGGGUCAUAAUGGGUCAUAACGGG
This 1839-nucleotide long non-coding RNA is filed under the name Malus domestica (apple). RNAcentral's name for it is "long non-coding RNA (MDOM_LNC015765)". The record is from RNAcentral. Lineage: Eukaryota; Viridiplantae; Streptophyta; Magnoliopsida; Rosales; Rosaceae.